CCCUGACCUCGGAUCAGAUGUGAUA
Molecule: ribosomal RNA, 25 nt
Filed under: Trichobilharzia franki
Lineage: Eukaryota; Metazoa; Platyhelminthes; Trematoda; Strigeidida; Schistosomatidae
Description: partial 28S ribosomal RNA
Source: RNAcentral